RNAcentral lists this ribosomal RNA (253 nucleotides) under uncultured bacterium. RNAcentral describes it as "partial 16S ribosomal RNA". It matches the Rfam family "Archaeal small subunit ribosomal RNA", at positions 474 to 727 of the family's 1478-position model. The record is from RNAcentral.
UACCAGCACCCCGAGUGGUGGGGACGUUUAUUGGGCCUAAAGCAUCCGUAGCCGGUUCUACAAGUCUUCCGUUAAAUCCACCUGCUUAACAGAUGGGCUGCGGAAGAUACUAUAGAGCUAGGAGGCGGGAGAGGCAAGCGGUACUCGAUGGGUAGGGGUAAAAUCCGUUGAUCCAUUGAAGACCACCAGUGGCGAAGGCGGCUUGCCAGAACGCGCUCGACGGUGAGGGAUGAAAGCUGGGGGAGCAAACCGG